Molecule: unclassified non-coding RNA, 368 nt
Filed under: Hevea brasiliensis (rubber tree)
Lineage: Eukaryota; Viridiplantae; Streptophyta; Magnoliopsida; Malpighiales; Euphorbiaceae
Source: RNAcentral
GAAUCUUUCUGGAGCCAAAUAUUUUACAAUCUACUAAGCUGAAUCUGCUACCUGCCAGCUUUGGUUGCUCGGAGCGGAGCUUCCGAGAGUGUCAGGUUGAUCAGCGGCAACUUUCUUGCUAGGAUGGCCGCAUUUGAUCUCUGCGAAGUGCGUGCUGGAGCUCAAUAACUUGCAGCCUCUGUUCGAUCGGCAACGAGUUAAGUUGUUCGGGAGUUAGAUUCAAAACUUGUUGCAAGAGUACAGACUCGACGUUGUGGGGAAGCAAUGAAGUUGGUUUCUCAGAGAGUUGCGUUCCCGCCAGAUUGGGAUCUGAGGCAAUUCCAAGUUGUCCAGAUCCAUUGAUACCUAUUGAUGCACUUAGACCUCCG